AUUGAACGCUGGCGGCAGGCCUAACACAUGCAAGUCGAACGAGUGGCGGACGGGUGAGUAAUGUCUGGGAAACUGCCCGAUGGAGGGGGAUAACUACUGGAAACGGUAGCUAAUACCGCAUACCAUCGGAUGUGCCCAGAUGGGAUUAGCUAGUCGGUGGGGUAACGGCUCACCUUGGCGACGAUCCCUAGCUGGUCUGAGAGGAUGACCAGCCACACUGGAACUGAGACACGGUACAGACUCCUACGGGAGGCAGAAGUGGGGAAUAUUGCACAAUGGGCGAAAGCCUGAUGCAGCCAUGCCGCGUGUAUGAAGAAGGCUUUCGGGUUGUAAAGUACUUUCAUCGAGGAGGCGUUACUCGAAGAAGAAGCACCGGCUAACUCCGUGCCAGCAGCCGCGGUAAUUC
RNAcentral lists this ribosomal RNA (406 nucleotides) under uncultured bacterium. RNAcentral describes it as "partial 16S ribosomal RNA". It matches the Rfam family "Bacterial small subunit ribosomal RNA", at positions 30 to 526 of the family's 1533-position model. The record is from RNAcentral.